RNAcentral lists this long non-coding RNA (1352 nucleotides) under Pogona vitticeps (central bearded dragon). Its description in RNAcentral is "lncRNA (ENSPVIG00000002051.1)". Lineage: Eukaryota; Metazoa; Chordata; Lepidosauria; Squamata; Agamidae. The record is from RNAcentral.
UUCCACAAUACCCACAACCAUUGCCACCUAUUCCUUCACAGCCCCCCAAUGUUUUGAACAGCCUUCAAUUCUUACCUGAGUUUUUUUUCCACACAAGAUAAGGCACAAAACAUAAUCCCAGAUUUACUUUAUAGCCUUAUUUCUGGUUGAUUAAAUAAUCCAAAAUAACUACCAACUCCUGGCUGGGUAAAAUAAUAGUUAAGGCUGCAAUACAGGAAGCAGAAAACAUGUACAGUAUAGGAUUUUUUUACAUGGACUUCCCAUUCUAGCCAUUCACUGAAAGAGUGGAGAAAUAGCUGCCCUUCUACUACCCCUGUUCCUUCUAAUUGGGCGGACAGUGAUGUUAUUAAAUUGUGUUGAAAAAAUAACUGGUUUGGGCUCAGUGGAUAAGCACUAUAAGGGUUUGUGGGAUUUUUAAAAAUCCAUUUGGGCUUCCUAUUCAUGGGUGAAAAACCAAUAACGAGAGGAAUGGCAUCGGUGUUAUUUUUCGCGAUGUGAAAAAGCAACGCAGGAGAUGCGUAAACAAAACACUGCAGUUGGCAAAUGUAUGAAUGAGAGAGGAAACGGCUCUCAUGUAGUAGCGGGAAGUGUACGUGUGGGUGUGUGUGUGGGGGGGAAUCCAUCCCAGAUUUUCCUGGCCGCUUUCUGAGUGACAGAUUGACAUCAUUGGAGGCGUGACAAAGGGUUGAGGUGGGGGCUCGGCGCUGAAAUGCUGCCGUGCCGAGUUUAGAUCAUUCUGAAACAGCAGCUCUUAAGGCGCAUAGCAGCCUGCAAAAGUGAUAUAGCCGCGGCGGACGACGACCACGACGAUCAGGAAUUUGUUGUCUCUCCGGGCACCCGGCGACUUGGUGGAUUUAGCUCGGGUGCCUGCGGAUGUGCUUCGGGAGAACGGCGCUUAACCUUUGCAUUCGGCAUUCCAGUUGCACUUUGUCUCGCCCAGGAUCGGAGCGGCGGGCGAAGGACCAUGUGGUGAAAAGGGAGCCUGGAUUCGUGGACGCGGCGUGACUCUCGUCGACUCCACGCGCGCUUGCCCGGAGAGACAUCGCGCGCCUCCAAGACGGGGCGCGGGGCGGGGGGGGGCGCGCGCAGAUCAAGCUCCAAGUUGGCGGAAGGCAGGAGAGACGGCCGAGCGUCGCCGCAGCAGCAGCAGCAGCCUCGCUUCGCAAAUACUGCCCGCUUCCCCGCCUCCUCCUCGCUCGCUCCCUCGCUGGCCAAGCCCGUCGUCAUAUUUCGAGGGGCGCUCCUUCCAGGCCGUGUGGAUGAGGCGGGCGAUUGAAUUGCUCUUGGAUCGAGCGCGGCACAGUUCUGCAGAACCAGCUCGAUCGCCUUUACCUGCGUUCCUUCGUCGCUGA